AUUCCUCGUCGGAACUUUUCAUACGCAUCCGGGACUCGGUGCCCAAAUUCCCAAAUGUUUCACUGAGUCGACUCGGCCUCCUCCUCAUAUCGCAAAGUCAAAACGAGAUCAUUACAAAAUGGCGCCAUCACGUAACAUCAUUGUAGCCACCGGUCUGGUUGCUUUCGCAUCUGCAGGGUUAGCGUUCCCCUUUUACAUGGCAUCAUCGAAAAAACCAGUAAUUGAUCCAACAAAACCAUUAUCUCCUCAAGCAACUUUUAGAGGACCUUACAUCAACACUGGUUCACGCGAUGUUGGUCCUGACCAUCGAACGUAUCCAAAGAAAUGAUCAGAUCAAUUCAAAAGCACGAGUUUUCAAUGUGAGCGGUAUGGUAUACAUUCAUAUAUCUUUUUCCUAGACAAUAUCUUUUUCAAGUUUGUACUCCCACUCCAUGUAAUUUCGUUAUGCUUCAUGUAACUUAUCAGAAAGAUAGUUUUCCCAACCUAAACAUUGAAUGUAACUGAAGAAACGGCUUUCAUAAACUUGAUUUUUGUAUUGUCAAAAAAAAGUUCUGAGA
Long non-coding RNA from Camelina sativa (false flax), 557 nucleotides. RefSeq lists it as uncharacterized. Lineage: Eukaryota; Viridiplantae; Streptophyta; Magnoliopsida; Brassicales; Brassicaceae. The record is from RefSeq and is a predicted model, not a curated record.